This 406-nucleotide ribosomal RNA is filed under the name uncultured bacterium. RNAcentral describes it as "partial 16S ribosomal RNA". It matches the Rfam family "Bacterial small subunit ribosomal RNA", at positions 30 to 526 of the family's 1533-position model. The record is from RNAcentral.
AUUGAACGCUGGCGGCAGGCCUAACACAUGCAAGUCGAACGAGUGGCGGACGGGUGAGUAAUGUCUGGGAAACUGACUGAUGGAGGGGGAUAACUACGGGAAACGGUAGCUAAUAACGCAUACCAUAGGAUGAGCACAGAUGGGAUUAGCUAGUAGGUGGGGUAAAGGCUCACCUAGGCGACGAUCCCUCGCUGGUCUGAGAGGAUGACCAGCCACACUGGAACUGAGACACGGUCCAGACUCCUACGGGAGGCAGCAGUGGGGAAUAUUGCACAAUGGGCACAAGCCUGAUGCAGCCAUGCCGCGUGGAUGAAGAAGGCCUUCGGGUUGUAAAGUACUUUCAGCGGGGAGGCGUUACCCGCAGAAGAAGCACCGGCUAACUCCGUGCCAGCAGCCGCGGUAAUUC